GUAUGUAUGUUGUUACAGGGUGGUUAACUUCGCCAGCGGCCCCCUUUCCCGGGGCAGUCCCUGCUCUCCCAUGCUAGAUGGGCACCCUAAUCCGUCACCCCAUCCGACUUCAGAAUGUAUUCGUUGGGUUCGGCAACUCACCACCAGCAUCCAACCAAAUCUAGCGGAUCAACGGCGCAUCAACUUAGUUCCUGGUCAGCUCGCAAGUUGAUAUUAUCACGUCCUACACCGUCCGUAUGAUGGGGGGCCACCUCACAUUUCAUCACUCCUCAAACACCCGAGGAGCCGGCAGGCGGAUUUGAACCCGGGUCGACUGGGUCGACUCGGAGCAGAAGUCAGGCCUUAACCUUUGCCAGCCGCCUGCCAGCCGCCGGCCUAAAUGUAUGUAUGCAUGCAUGCAUGUAUGUAUGUAUGCAUGUAUGUACGUAUGUAUGUACGUAUGUAUGCAUGUAUGUAUGCAUGUAUGUAUGUAUGUAUGUAUGUAUGUAUGUAUGUAUGUAUGUAUGUGUGUGUGUA
This 516-nucleotide long non-coding RNA is filed under the name Volvox carteri. Its description in RNAcentral is "long non-coding RNA (VCAR_LNC002981)". The record is from RNAcentral. Lineage: Eukaryota; Viridiplantae; Chlorophyta; Chlorophyceae; Chlamydomonadales; Volvocaceae.